GUGCUGUCUCGCCUUGAAACCUGGCCUGGCCCUGGGAUUGGUGCCUUGUCAGUCACUGCUUUCAUUCUAUGUGGAUCCUUUAGAUUUGAAACUAAAAGGCCAGAAUAUUCUCUGUGGACAGCAUCCUGCUCAAACAGCAUUGAAGAACUAAAAGAGUAACUUGUAGACAGGAGUGAAGAUCAGGGUUUUCUGUCAGGGGAUUCGUGUUGCCACUAGAGCCUUGGGAAUCUUCUCAGUGUUUAAAAU
Molecule: long non-coding RNA, 246 nt
Organism: Pan troglodytes (chimpanzee)
Lineage: Eukaryota; Metazoa; Chordata; Mammalia; Primates; Hominidae
Exons: 3
Source: RefSeq, a predicted model, not a curated record